This 75-nucleotide transfer RNA is filed under the name Myxococcales bacterium. RNAcentral describes it as "tRNA-Glu". It matches the Rfam family "tRNA". Rfam says of the family: Transfer RNA (tRNA) molecules are approximately 80 nucleotides in length. Their secondary structure includes four short double-helical elements and three loops (D, anti-codon, and T loops). Further hydrogen bonds mediate the characteristic L-shaped molecular structure. tRNAs have two regions of fundamental functional importance: the anti-codon, which is responsible for specific mRNA codon recognition, and the 3' end, to which the tRNAs corresponding amino acid is attached (by aminoacyl-tRNA synthetases). tRNAs cope with the degeneracy of the genetic code in two manners: having more than one tRNA (with a specific anti-codon) for a particular amino acid; and 'wobble' base-pairing, i.e. permitting non-standard base-pairing at the 3rd anti-codon position. The record is from RNAcentral. Lineage: Bacteria; Pseudomonadati; Myxococcota; Myxococcia; Myxococcales. RNAcentral also lists the same sequence under 1 other name.
GUCGCUGUAGCACAACGGUCAGUGCAACGGUUUCUCGAACCGGAGAUCGGGGUUCGAUUCCCCGCAGCGAUACCA